GAUGAAGAACGUAGCGAAAUGCGAUAAGUAAUGUGAAUUGCAGAAUUCAGUGAAUCAUCGAAUCUUUGAACGCACAUUGCGCCCCCUGGUAUUCCGGGGGGCAUGCCUGUUCGAGCGUCAUUACAACCCUCAAGCUCUGCUUGGUGUUGGGCCCCGCCGCCCCGGCGGGCCCUAAAAUCAGUGGCGGUGCCGUCCGGCUCCGAGCGUAGUAAAUCUUCUCGCUCUGGAGGUCCGGGUGUGUGCUCGCCAGCAACCCCCAAUUUUUUUCAGGUUGACCUCGGAUCAGGUAGGGAUACCCGCUGAACUUAAGCAUAUCAAUAAGCGGAGGA
This 329-nucleotide unclassified non-coding RNA is filed under the name soil metagenome. Its description in RNAcentral is "partial contains 5.8S ribosomal RNA, internal transcribed spacer 2, and large subunit ribosomal RNA". The stretch from base 1 to 120 matches the Rfam family "5.8S ribosomal RNA", at positions 35 to 154 of the family's 154-position model. The record is from RNAcentral.